Molecule: non-coding RNA, 671 nt
Organism: Oryza sativa Japonica Group (Japanese rice)
Lineage: Eukaryota; Viridiplantae; Streptophyta; Magnoliopsida; Poales; Poaceae
Source: RefSeq, a predicted model, not a curated record
ACGAGCUUCCUGUCCACCCACGAUGCGAUCUGCGCCAAACCCCCCGCAAGGCCGCAACCCCGUCCCCUCGCAUCGCGUUCCAUCUCUCGCCAAAUCGUCGUCGCCUCGCCCUCACGGUCGCGCUUGAAGUCUGCAAUGGCCGCCGGACCAGGUCACCAUCACCUCGCCCUCACCGUCGCACCGCUGCCACCGCAUCCCCCGGUUCAACUCCACUGAGAUCGACUUCUCCCUCGUCUGCGCCGCCACCAACCGUCGAGGACAAUACCAACGACGCCUCGCCGAUCUCCUCCGCGGCCACUGCCGACCGGCACCGACUCCCGCCUCGCCGAUGUCCUCCGCGGCCGCUGUUGACCGGCGCCGACUCCUGCAUCGUCGCCCCGCGUCACUACCGACCGGUACAGCCGAGCCGAAGCCAGCGCUGCCUGCCUGACCACAUCGCCGCCAUCACCCAGCCAGGCAUUUCUUCUUCAGGCUACAGGUAAUUUCAUUUUUAUGGAGUGAUCAAGCAUAAUCAGGGGAUACGCUGCAAAACAGAUCUCCUCUCCCUAGAGGACUUCUACAUGGAGUGAUCUAUCAGACCAAUUUAGUUUUGACUUGAGGCUAUCAAUUUAAAACUGUGUAGAAAAUAUAAAAUGGGAAAAUAAUAUACUCUUGCCCCUGUCUUCCUUGGA